UUUGCGAAAACAACCCCAGACAAAAAGUAUAAAGGAGUCUCAGGCGUGAUGACUGUAUGGAAUCCAGAAAACGUUGGACCUAACCAAUAUAGUUCAGUUGCAAUCUCAGCUGAAGUAGGAGAGGGACCUGACUACACUCGAAUACAAUUUGGGUGGACUGUGUUCCCAUUCCAGUUCCAGGACAGUUUCACUCAUUGGUUUUUUCAAGUAACCAACACAACAAAUGUUCCAGGAUGUUUUGAUCUUAAUUGCCAAGGUUUGUACAAAUAAAUACCCAAGUUCCAAUUGGCGCUGCUAUACAUGAUGUCUCUGACUACGGUACCGACCAUCAAGUGUUUUUGCAUUUCAGCCUCCUCCAGGAUCCAGAGAAAGAAUCACCUUGGUGGCUGUUUUAUAAUGAAGAACCUACACCAAUUGGGUAUUUUUCAAACAAACUGUUCACUAAGUUAAGCGAUGGAGUAGACACAUUGAAAUGGGGAGGCUAUGUUUUCACUCAGCCAGGUGAUGAGACUAGCCCUCAAAUGGGUAGUGGAAAAUUUGAUAAUGGAAUAUAUCAACGAACUACUAACAUGAUUAAUGUACGAUAUAUUGAUAACAAUUAUCAAUUAGUUGAUUCGCCAAAUGAUAUUCAAACUGUGGAGUCUCGUUGUUACUUAGAAGGAGACCAGUCAUACAAAGACGACAAAGUAGGUUAUACCUUUUUUUUUUGGCGGAAAAGGUGGCA
Molecule: long non-coding RNA, 724 nt
Organism: Quercus lobata
Lineage: Eukaryota; Viridiplantae; Streptophyta; Magnoliopsida; Fagales; Fagaceae
Exons: 4
Source: RefSeq, a predicted model, not a curated record